GGCUUGGCCGGGCGGUCCGCCUCACGGCGUGUACUGUCUGGCUGGGUCUUCUCUCUUGGUGAGGCGGCAUGCCCUUUACUGGGUGUGUCGUGGAACCAGGACUUUUACCUUGAGAAAAUUAGAGUGUUCAAAGCAGGCCUAUGCCCGGAUACGUUAGCAUGGAAUAAUAAAAUAGGACGU
RNAcentral lists this ribosomal RNA (180 nucleotides) under uncultured Glomeromycotina. Its description in RNAcentral is "partial small subunit ribosomal RNA". The record is from RNAcentral. Lineage: Eukaryota; Fungi; Glomeromycota.